UCUCCCACUUUCCAAAUUGUAUAACUAACACACAAUUUCGAUGUUGAAAUAGCAAAUUGGAUGUUGAGUAGUUCAUUUUCAAAGAUACCUUGUCCAAAAUGACUAGAUGAACCAAUGAAUCUAACGGGUGUACCGCUAGGUCCAACAUCCGAAUUGUAACGGAAUAUGCCAUUUGCACAAGGGGCAUCUGAAUUUGGGGACUUACCUAGGUACACAUCACCACCUAACGCACCCCAAAAAGUGGAAAUAAUACGAUAACUCAAACGAGAAUCAAGUUCUUUACCAGUUACGUCAAGUACUGGAGUAGCAUCACUAGGUAGGUUAAUGGGAUUUUGGGAAGUGAAAGUUGAUGAAAACACCACAAUGGGAACCAAACACAAACAUAACAAAAAUAAACACUUCAUCUUGUUUAAGCUACUAAUUUUAUUUGUGUAUUGCUUGUUUGUGACUCCUCUACACUAAUGAAGCCUUCUAUUUAUAGACUCAUCACACUCUCAUAUUCCUUGCCAUGUAUUAAAAAUGACUACAGUUCCUUAUUGUGUUGUUAUUACCCGUAAUUACUUAAAUGGUCAUUCAAUUAUAAUAAAUUUCUUAUCAAAUAUUAUUCAUUUUCUUCGUCUCAGUUUGUGUUGCACUUCUCGAAUUUAGAGGAUUCAAAUAAGAAUUUCUUUGUAAGUAAUUAUUUUUCUAUGUGUUUUAAUAUCUUGAAUUAUUAAAUAUUUGUGAUUUAUAUGUACUUUUUAUGUAUUCUUCAAAUAUGUAUAUAUAUUUUUUUUUUAAAAUUUCAUAUCUAAAUUUACGAUUAAAAUUAAACUAUUUAAUAAAUUUGACACGACGAAUUAAAAUCAUGAUGAAAUAUGUCUUCUUGUAUCAAAAAAUUCGUCAAGUAAGAGAGUUUAUCUAUCGAGUAAAUAUAGCUAGAAACAAAAAGAGAGAAUUAGAUUGAUUUAAAGGUUAAUAUAUAAUUCCCCUUUUGGUCAUUCCUCAUCCAUGUUAACAUUAACCUUCUUAUAAACUGUUGGUUAUUAAGCAUUUUAAUAUUAUUUUAUAUUAAAGUAGCUUUUUUAUUUGACUUAAUGCUGCCAAACCAUUUUUUUGGUCAUGUUAAUGCCAAUUAUUCUUGGCUUUAUUGGUCAGAUGUCAUAUAUCCUAUAACGUUCCAGUGAACGUUGUGGUCAACAUCUUGGGCAGUUUUGCAUUUCCACGUUAGAGGCAUUGGGUUACCCCCUGUCAAUUAUUCCAUUCUUAAUUCCUCCAUUAUCCUUGGUAACCCUAUAUAACUUCUAAGACUAUUAUCUUCACUAUUUUACUACAUCAUUUAUCUUCUUAUUCAUUGCUAGGAAGACUUCUUCUAGUAUAAAUAGUAGUGGUCUUCAUUUGGUUUAUGACACAAGGAAAAUAUAAAGUGCAUAAAGUUUGUCAAAAAAAGAGUUCUUAUUAGUUGAAGGGAGGUGUUCUUUUUUGUGGAGAUUUGGACUCAAAUCUUGUCCAGAGUUGUUGAGUUAUACUUUGUGAAGGCUGUUGUAUCCUGGAGGGGACAAGUCAAAAAGGACUACUGCUCGACCGAUAAAAAAACAUUUGCUGCAGUGAACUUGAAUCUCCUUAAAGAGAGCGAGAUAUCCGCGCCUCAACCAAAAGAGAUUUAUUUCUUCAUUUUUAUUUUCAAUUGUAAUCUUGUAAUUCUGUUAUUUUGUAANNNNNNNNNNNNNNNNNNNNNNNNNNNNNNNNNNNNNNNNNNNNNNNNNNNNNNNNNNNNNNNNNNNNNNNNNNNNNNNNNNNNNNNNNNNNNNNNNNNNNNNNNNNNNNNNNNNNNNNNNNNNNNNNNNNNNNNNNNNNNNNNNNNNNNNNNNNNNNNNNNNNNNNNNNNNNNNNNNNNNNNNNNNNNNNUUUUGUGGAGCUUUGGACUCAACUCUUGUCCAGAGUUGUUGAGUUAUACUUUGUGAAGGCUGUUGUAUCCUGGAGGGGACAAGUCAAAAAGGACUACUGCUCGACCGAUAAAAAAACAUUUGCUGCAGUGAACUUGAAUCUCCUUAAAGAGAGCGAGAUAUCCGCGCCUCAGCCUGAAGAGAUUUAUUUCUUCAUUUUUAUUUUCAAUUGUAAUCUUGUAUUUUUUGUUAUCUUGUAAGUUUUUUCACUAACAUAAACUAAUUCAGAGUGUAUGACUCUAAAAUCUACAUUCCUGCACAUAAUGACCCUACAACCUUGCAUUCCUUACAAUAAUUAGACAAAUAAUUAUACUGUUUCACUUUCACUGUCCUUAUUUCUCCAAUAUUUUCAUCUUUUAUAUUCAUUCUAACAUGAUCGGGUAAGUUUUCCAUCAAGUCCACCGAAACCUUCACUUUUGCACAACUAAGUCGAAUCUUAUUGAUUAUUGUCAUGUCAAGAUGUAAAGGAGUGUCAACUGAUCGAUUAUGCCGAUGAGAAAAUAGAUUCCUUCACAUAGCAUGUGAGUAAAAGAUUUGGAAAUGGAGUCCAAGCCACGACUCUUUUGAAUCUUGAAUGAUAAAUCGAUGGUCUUUAUGAAUUUGCAUGAGAGAGAGAAAAUAUAAUUAGUUCUUCAAAUCAAGCUUUCAAUUUUAUGGGUGUACUUAUACAUAUAGAAUUGGCAUAUUUUAUUUAAUAAACUAAUAGCAUGUUAAUUUGGCCAAGUUUCUGAAUUCUGAAAUCACCAUAUUUUGAAAGGUAUUUUUGGUAAGAAAAAAUCUGCAUUUAGCUAGUAAAUUUUAAAGUAGUUUUAAGUAGCAAUUGGUAUUUGACCAAUUUUGCUAUAAGUGUUUUAAGUGUAAAAAAUUUAUUUAAUUAUUUUUAAUUAUUAAAAGAUGAUUAUUUUUUUUGUAGAAUAGACUUAAAUGAAAAAACUGGUUACAUAAAUUGAUACUCCAUUUGUUUUAAUUUAUUUGAUUUUUUUUUUAGUUAGUCUAAAAAAUGACAUUUUCUUAUAUAAAUAAUAUUUAGUGACACUAUCAAUAUUUAUCUAUAUGGAUCCCACUUAUUUGCCAAACGCUAAUUUGGUACUCCCUCUGAUACAAUACAAGUGACUUGUUAGGAUGUGACAUCCUUAGAAAAUAUAUAAGACUCGUCUAUUUUUCAAUAUAAAAUAAUGUCAAUAAUUCAUUUAUAUUGAGUUAGAGGGAGUAACCCCUAAUAUGUACUUUGCUUUAUUUGUUCCACGUAGGAGAAUAGUCAUAAAACAUGAUUUUUAUGUGCUAUAGAUAAAGUUUUAACAAUAAAAUACUUAACGCAAGAAAAUACACAAAACAUGAUUUGCGUUAAUUGAUAGGAUAAAGACAGGAAAUGGGCCUUACUAAAUCAAUCAACCAAAGUAGAUGAUGACUCUUUCUUUUGAUCACAUAAAAUUAAUAAUAUAUUUUUAUUUCUUCAUAUUUUAUUUGUAAUUGGAGUUUAUUUUUCCUACAUUAAUUUUUUUUUUUGCUAACAAUCUUAUUGUGUAUGCUGAAACAUAUAAGGGUUGUUUGGUAGAGUGUAUUAAAAAAAAUAAUGCAUGCAUUAGCCUUGUGGUACUAGUACCUUGUUUGAUAUUCUUCUCCAACCUAUGUAUAACUAAUGCUUGCAUUCAAGUUUAAGAACGAUCAAAAUCAAGACCAUCAGAUUCAAGAAUAAGCUCGAAGCCCUUGAAUUCAAGUAAACGUCAAGAUCAAAAUAAAGUUCAAGUUCAUCGAAGAUUCAACAACAAGCUUUAAAGCCCUUGAAUCCAUUUUUAUCCUAUUUAGAAAAUUUAGUUUUAACCCACUCUGCCCUACACUCGUAUAUAUGCCUAAACCUGCCCCGUUCCUCAUAUGUGAUAUUAUUAUUUCAUUAUUAGGUAUAAGAUAGUAAACGAUAAGGAAAGACAAUUUAUUAAGAAAGCCAUGCUAAAAUAUAUAUAGAUAUACCUUAGCAGGUGUUUAUUUUACAACAUAACAUAGUAGCUGGCCAGCAGGCAGGCUAAAACAUAGUAUAGUCUAGCUGCAGGCAUUAUUUGUUACUAGACUUCCUGGAAUAAGACAUCAAGAGGAUUUUCGUUGACAAGAGCCAAACGCCUUUUUCCAUUUUGAAUAACUACACCCACUUUUGCACAAAACUGAUCCUCAGGGCAACGUAGACAAAUAAUAGAAGUAAAUGGGCAAGACAAUAAGUUGUAACCAAUUUUUGAUGAUUUAACAAUCUUGAAAUAGCUGUUAUCUGCUUGCCCUAUGGUUCCUCCGGUCUCCAACAACAUCGUCCUAAAAUAUGCAUUUAGAUUUCCGACUUUCCAAAUUGUAUAACUAACACACAAUUUCACUGUUGGAAUAUUGAAUUGUAUGUUGAGUAGUUGAUCUUCAAAGAUAUUUGUAGAUAAAGGAAUGAAUCUAACGGGUGUACCGCUAGGUCCAACAUCGGAAUUGUAACGGAAUACGCCAUCUGGACAAGGGGCAUCUGAAUUUGGGGACUUUCCUAGGUAUACAUCACCACCUAAGGCACCCCUACCAAUGGAAAUAAUGCGAUAACUCGAAUUAGGAUUGAGUUCUUUACCAUUUGUGUCAAGUACCGGCUUAGGUAGAGGAGAUUCACUGGGUAGGUCAAUGAGAUUUUGGGAAGUGAAAGUUGAUGAAAACACCACAAUGGGAACCAAACACAAACAUAACAAAAAUAAACACUUCAUCUUGUUUAAGCUACUGAUUUUAUUGCUUGUGUUUUCUCUAUACUAAUGAAGCCUUCUAUUUAUAGAGUGAUCACACACUCAUAUUCCUUGCCAUGUUUUAAACAUGUAGUGGUCCCAGUAGCUACUCAACCAAUUAUAAUGGAGUAAAUCUUUACCAAAAAUUAUUUAUUUUCUUUCUCGCAAUUCAAGAAUACAAAUAAUUAAGUUUUUUAUCAUAAAAAUUUUCAUAUGUUUUGAAUUAUUAAUUAGUGUGACGUAAAUGUACUUUUUAUAUGGUGUCAAAUAUGUAUAAUUAAAAUUCAUGUCCAAAUUUACUGUCAAAGUUAAAUUAUUUUGACUCUCAAAAUUCGAACGAUUCCUCAUAUUGACCCAGAUGAAAUAUGUUUUCUUUUAUCAAUAAAAUCCGUCAAGUCACAGAGUUUACCUACCAAGUCAUUAUACCUAGAAAAAAAAGAUAAAAAAUAAAGCAACAUAAAUCUCCCUUUUAAAUUUGAUUUCUUUCAACUUACCUCCUUUUCUUUCAAAAAAAUUAUCUUAAAGAUAAAUAAUUUUACCUCUCAAACUUUUACCAAACAAUUUAUAAGGCUCGUUUUGAAUCAUAUAUUUUUUGACUUUUUCUUUAUAAAAAGAAAUAUCUUGUCCAAUAACUAGUGCAAUCUAAAUCUACUUAAAGAAAGAACCUAAUGAGAGUUCUGUAUUUCUUUCUUUCUUUCUUUAUUGGUAGCAUAUUUGUGGAUGGCAAAUAUCCGAAAAUUAAUUAAAAUAUUUUUUUUUAAAAAAAUAAUCAUUCUCUCCAAAACCAAAUAAAAAAUCUAUGAAAAUAACUUUUUCCCAUUUCAUAAUUUUAAUGGAUUUGGCUCCCCUCCAUUUCGUCAAGUACACAUCUAGAUGAGAGACAUGUGUACUAUUUAAUUGUUAAAGGUCAAGAUUAUAUUGCAUUAACUAGUAUCAUAACCAUAGUUAAGUGAAUAAGUUUUGGAAAAAAAUACUCUCCAAAUUUAGUAAGAAUAAUUAAUUCUUCUCAAUUUUUGAUAUCCACUAUCCAUAUAUUUAUAUCAUUAAUUUUAUUUUAUAUUUAAAUAUUAAAAUGAUAACAACGUUUAGUUUGUUUAGCCUAACAGUAGUCUUACAAAAUAUUUUGCCUUUAAAUUGAUGUUUUCUUUUAUUUUAUUUUUUAAAAGAAUUUUUUUUUUGAUACUUUCAAUUGGAAAUCAUAUGGUUGAUAAAUCAGAUGACAAAAACUUAUACUAAAAAACAAAAUAUUAUUAUAUCAAAACUAAUAUAAAGAAAAACAUUGAAACUUUAGAAAGAAUAAAUCUCCCCAUAAACAAGACUCUUGAACGACUACAUUGUGGAUGUUAUUGUUGUUGUGUUAGAAGAAACAAACCUAUAUUUAUAGAGUCCUAAAAUCUUUCCUACUAGAAAAGAACUAGCUACUCCAAAACUUUUUCUUAAAAGGAAAGAAUAAACCAAAUAUGAAAGAAUAUUAUAUUUUCCUUUCAAGAAAAGUAAAAACAUUUAUGGUAAUGUUUUGUCUUUUCUUUAAUGAAAAAUAAAUCUUAAAUUAUGGUAAGAAAAUCUUAAUAAAAUCCUAACAGUGAGGUAAUGUGUUAAAGAAUGACAAAAGUCUCACAUCGGUGGUUAAUGAGAUGGGUGGACUCCUUAUAAGGCUUGUGUAAUCCUCCUCCCUUGGAGCUAGCUUUUGGGGUGUGAGUUAGGCCUAAGACCUAAUUUAACAUGGUAUCAAAGCAGAUCGAUUACUGCUGUAACUGCUUUCUGAUCUAAACACACACUGAUUGUACUGCUCAUCUCGCUGGUGAAGCUAUGGCGAAUGUGGACAAUGAGUUGCCUGAGAAGUUAAGUCACAAUCAUCCUCUGUUUUUACAUACAAUUGACAAUUCUGGAGUAUUACUCAGCUCAAUUCAACUAACCGGAGCUGAUAACUACUAUGUAUGGAGUCACGCUAUGAAGAUUGCAAUUCUAGGGCGUAAUAAGUUGGGAUUCAUUGACGGUUCAUGUAAAAAGGAGGCGUAUGGUCCUAAUUUGACAAAUCUAUGGAAAAGGUGUAAUGCAAUUGUACUUUCAUGGAUUAUGAACUCUGUGUCGAAGGAAUUACUUGGAGGAAUUGUUUACUCCACAAAUGCAACUACUGUGUGGAAGAAUCUCCAAGAACGAUAUGAUAAGGUUGAUGGAAGUCAUAUUUUUCAGCUUCAUAAAGAAAUUGCCACAAUUAGUCAAGGUACAAGUUCAAUUUCAGUCUAUUUUGCUCGAUUAAAUGAACUGUGGGUAGAGUUUGAUAGUUUAGAAUAGUUCCUGCUUGUGACUAUGCAAACUCGAGAGAAUUUGUUAUAUUUGUUCAUAAUCAGAAGUUAUUGCAAUUCCUUAUGGGUCUUAAUGAAUCAUAUGAACAAGCUAGAGGACAGAUCCUGAUGAAGAUGCCAUUACCAUCUCUCAAUAAGACUUAUUUUAUGUUAAUUGAAAGAGAAAGUCAACGAAACAUUUCACAAUCAUCUACUAGCUCGUCUGAGUUGAAUGCUUUGUUCACUAGUCGAAAUCCAACACAAUCAUUGCCUAGGUCAAGACCAUCACACACCUCUACCUAUGAUCCAAAUGCCUUUUGUGAUUACUGCAAACGCACAGGUCAUACUCAAGGUAUUUGUUAUCAGCUUCAUGGAUAUCCCCUUGGGUAUGAAAGGAAGAAGAAAGGACAAUUCUCUACUAACACUGGGAGGGGCAAACCUCAUAACGAAAGGAGACAAUAUCCAGCUGUCAAUAAUGUGGUUAGUGAAUCUGAACACAACCAUAGAUCUAACCUUGAUCACAAUAGAGGUAUGAGUUCAGGGAAUCAUGGUGGAAGCCAAGGAUAUGUGAGUCCAGGGAAUCAUGGUGGAAGCCAAGGUUAUGGGAGAGGAAAUAGUCAGGUUGAUCAAACUGAUUACCAAAGAGGAAUGACUGUCUUACAUGAACAAUAUAACCAGAUUUUAACUAUGCUUGGACAAACUAAUGUACAUGGAGGCACUGAAGGACCAUCUACAUCUUAUUCAAGUGCAAAUUUAGCUCAGGAAUAUCCCACAACAGGUACAACUACUGCACUCACAAGUCAUUCUACUCACACGUACUGGAUUAUAGAAUCAGGAGCCACAAAUCACAUAACACCACAUGCUGAUAUGCUUGUUCAGAAACACACUAUUUCACCAAAUAAUCCUAGAAUUGUACAAUUACCAAAUGGCACCACUACUCAUAUCACACACACUGGUUCAAGUAGUUUGACUAAACAUGAUACUCUCAAUAAUGUUCUCCUUAUUCCAGAGUUUAAGUUCAAUCUACUAUCUGUGUCAAAAAUGACUAAAGACCUGCAAUGUGUUGUGUCUUUCUUUCCUGAAUUUGUUGUCAUUCAGGACCUCUCAAAUGGGCAGGUGAAGGUGAUUGGUAAGGAGCAUGCUGGGCUCUAUCAUCUCCCUUCUCAUACUUACUCCACAAACACACAAUGUCAGUCACAUCUAGCACACACUACUGCUGUUUCUUUUUCAACAGACUCUCAGAUUCAAUUGUGGCAUCAAAGGCUAGGACACAUAUCAUCCAGUGUGUUAGCUCAUACUCUUGAUUUUUCUACCAUUAAAUGUUCUCAUAUUGUAUACACCUGCACCGUAUGCCCUUUAGCUAAGCAACAUAAACUUCUUUUUCCUCAUAGCACUUUCAUUUCUUCUAUUCCUUUCCAGUUGUUACAUAUAGAUGUUUGGGGUCCCUUCAACACUCCCACAUAUGAUUGUAACAGAUACUUUGUUACCAUAGUGGAUGAUUGUACUAGGAUGUUAUGGAUAUUUCUAAUAAAAUCCAAAAGUGAUGUUUGUAUUGUGUUGAAAAACUUCUUUACUUUGGUCAAAACUCAGUUUAACUUUGCUGUUAAAUCCAUUAGAACUGAUAAUGGGUCAGAGUUUGUCAAUACUGAGUGUCAUCAAUUGCUUACCAGUCUAGGUAUUAGUCAUCAAAAGACUUGCAUUCAUACUUUUCAACAGAAUGGGAUUGCUGAAAGGAAACACAAACACAUACUUGAAGUGGCAAGGGCAAUCAAGUUUCAGGGUUAUAUCCCAAUCAGAUUUUGGGGUCAGUGCAUUCUUAGUGCUGCAUACAUUAUCAACAGGUUGUCUACACCUAUGUUACAUGGGAAAUCACCCUAUGAGGUGUUUCACAAGAAGAAACCUUCUCUUUUACAUAUGAGAGUCUUAAGUUGCCUUUGUUAUGCCAAAAACAUGUACAUCACUAAUAAAUUUCACCCUAGAAGUGUGAUUGGUAUUCAUAUGGGUUAUAGUGAUCUUACGAAGGGGUAUUUGUUGUAUAACCUGCGAUAUAAGAAUUUCUUCCUCAGCAGAGAUGUUGAAUUCAGAGAGUCUAUAUUCCUUUUUGCUGUGCCUACAUCUAGUUCCUGGCAAUUAUUUCCCUCUACUAAUAUACCAUCUGGUCAUGAUCUUCGUUAUGAUCCUGGUUCAGUGCCUAUAGAGGAAUCAGAUGUGUCAUCUGUUGUGCCUGUACUUAAAGUUCCUGCUCAGAGGAAGUCUCACAGGAUCAGCAGAGCUCCAUUAUGGCUUUAAGAUUAUGUUGCCUUUGUUCGACUCGGUCCUAUCAAGCCAUUAUACUCCAUUGAUCAGUACAUUGGCUAUGAUAAUUUAUCCAGCUCUUAUAAGGCCUUUCUUUCUUCCUUUGGGACUGAUGUUGAACCUACCACUUUUGAGGAAGCUUGCAAGGACUCUAGAUGGGUUGAGGCAAUGCAGGCUGAGAUAUCAGCCUUGGAGGAUCAUAAGACUUGGCGAGUGGUUUCCUUACCUUCUCACAAAAAGGCUAUUGGUUGCAAGUGGAUAUUCAAGAUUAAGUAUAAGGCUUCUGGAGAAGUUGAGAGAUUUAAAGCCAGACUAGCUGCCAAAGGGUUCAAUUAGAGGGAAAGUUUAUACUACCAUGAGACUUUUUCUCCAGUUGUGAAAAUGGUCACUAUCAGGAGUGUGUUGGCUCUAGCUGCUUCUGAACACUGACAUGUUCAUCAAAUGGAUGUCUCCAAUGCUUUUCUUCAGGGAGAUCUUUUUUAUGAAGUUUAUAUGACUCUGCCUCAGGGAUUUCAACUUCCACAGGGAUUCAUUGUGCAUGGGGGAAACCUGGAUAUAAGCUCAAUAAAUCCCUCUAUGGGUUGAAACAAGCUCCUAGACAAUGGAAUGUAAAACUCGCUGAAGCUCUUAUCAAACUUGGUUUUGUUCAAAGUCUUUUGGACUACUCAUUGUUCAUUAAAAGGACUGGUACAUCACUAGUACUAAUUCUUAUAUAUGUGGAUGAUAUGAUGAUUACUGGUAAUGAUCUUAAACUUAUUCAACACAUCAAAAAGAUCCUCCAAGAUACCUUCAAGAUGAAGGAUUUAGGAGACCUCAGAUACUUUCUUGGGAUUGAAUUUGCAAGGUCACAAGCAGGUACUGUUAUGCAUCAAAGAAAGUACACAUUGGAAAUUAUUUCUGAAGUUGGCCUUGGAGCAGCAAAACCAGCUGCCACCCCUCUUGAUCCUUAUGUCCAGUUGACAACCAGAGAAUAUGAUGAAAUAAAAUGGAAAAGGCAAGGAUGAUAAACUACUUGAAGAUGCUACAAUAAAUAGAAGGUUAGUUGGCAAACUGUUAUAUCUAAAUGUCACAAGACCAGACAUUGCCUUUGCUACACAAACCUUGAGUCAGUUCCUUCACCAACCUAAGUAGUCUCAUCUUAAUGCUGCACUCAAAGUUGUGAGAUACAUAAAAGGACAAGCUGGACUAGGUGUCCUGUUAUCUAGCAAGAGAAACAAUCAACUGAAUGUAUAUUGUGAUUCAGACUGGGGAGCAUACCUACAUACUAGAAGAUCAGUUUCUGGUUUUAUGGUGAAGCUGGGAGAUUCACUAAUAUCCUGGAAGUCAAAGAAACAAGGAACAAUAUCUAGAAGUUCAGCUGAAGCAGAAUAUAGGGGCAUGGCAAAUGUUGUAGCUGAAGUUGUUUGGAUAGUGAGGUUAUUCAAAGAACUAGGUGCUGAUGUUCAAAUUCCUGUGACUAUUCACUGUGGUAGCAAGUCAGCAAUUCAAAUUGCAGCAAAUCCAGUUCUUCAUGAAAGAACAAAACAUAUUGAAUUGGAUUGCCAUUUCAUAAGGGAGAAAAUACAACAAGGAUUAGUGAAAACAAAGUAUUUGAAUACUAAGGAGCAAGAAGCUGAUAUAUUAACUAAAGUCUGGGAAGUCUCAACAUGAAUACUUAAUGUCCAAGUUUGGUGUAUUAAAUCUGUCCAUACCUUCAAACUUGAGGGGGAGUAUUUGAAGAAGGUAUUACAUAGGACCUACAUGUAAUUAGUAAGAGUUUGUAUGUAAUUAAUAGAAGUUAGAGGGUUAGUUAGUAAAGAGUCGGUUAGAUUAGUUACAACAAGAUUCCUACUUAGUUUGUAUAAAUGUAGCACAUUACUGAUUCAUUUGUUUUUCUCUUAAGCAAUGAAGUUCAUUUCUCAUUCUCUCUAAUUCUUCUUCUUUACGUCUAGAACAUUCCUAAUCAAAGGGAACUGUUCUUCAAGAUAUCUUCUUCAAGAUAUCUAACAUAGAAUCCAAUAAAUUCUUCUUAGUAUAAUAAGUAAGCAACAGUUAUAACUCUAGUAAUUAUGACUAAUAACUCUAAUAAAAUGUAUUCUACAUUCUAAAAGUAGAGAGGAAAGAGACAAUAUUUAGGUUCUGUAAUUUUUUGUUGGAUAUGCUAUGUUUAUAACAGAGAUGAAGUUUAUUUUUAUGGUUUACCAAUUCCAAGCACUUGUUCUUUAAUUUGCACAUAAACCUAAUAAAUGAGGGCAACAAAAUUAGAUCAUAAAUGCAUGAUUCACCUUAGUGUAUAUAUUGAUCCCUUCACUUUUUCUUUCCUAUUUUUCAUACGAAAUUUUGUUCACACACCCAACAUUAUAUUUAUGUGAUUCUAUUUUGUUAUCAAAUAUUGUCUUGGUUAAAGUCACCGCAUAUUGUAGCUAGCUAUCAAAUAAGAAAUAAGUCGUAAGGAGUUUUACGUUAUCAUAAUUCGAGAAAUACGUCACUAACAAUCUUAAAAUUAUGGAGAAAUUCAUAGAGAAACAUCAAGGAAGAACAUAAUUAUAUGCACACUAUUUAUUAAUGGGAUAUUUUUCUUCUUCAUAUUUUAUUUGUGCCUGAAAUUUAACUUUCAUAUAUUUAAAUUUGUUGCAAACAACAUAUGUAUAUUGAUCCAUAUGUUGUUGUGGAUUUAACUGCCCUGAACAUACUCCUAAGUCCUAAUAUUGUUAGAAAAUAGCAUUUGAAAGCACAUGAAAUAUAUUUUUCCUAACUUAAAAUUUGUUGCAAACUAACAUAUUGUAUAUUGAUCCCUAUGGUGUUGUGGGUUAAUUAAACUGACCUAAACAUACUCCUAAAUCCUAAUACUUUUAGAAAAUAACAUUUAAAGCACAUUAACUUUGAAAUUUACCCUUAAGAAAAUGGAUUUGCAAGCAACAAUGCUUGCAUUAUCCUUAAGAAAUUUAACCUUAUGAAUAUUGUGCUUAAUUAUUUCUCCUUUUUUUUAAAAAAAAAAAAAACUAAUUAAGUAUUAUUUAUAGAAUAGUUAACUAAUUUGUCCUUUAUUAUGUAUAUUCUUAUUAUAUAUAUAUAUAUAUAUAUAUAUAUUUGAGGAAAAACAAUUUUUUUUAGUUUUUGAAUAUUUUUUUGCUAAUUCUUUAAAAGCACUUAAUUAUGUUCUUCCAAAACAACUUAUUUUUAAAAAAUAAAUAUAGAAGUAUUAUAAGGCUCUAUAUUUAAGCUUAUCCAAACUAUUUAUAAGGCUCGUUUUGAACCAAACAAUAUUAUUCACAAGAACCAAAAAGUGAUCACUCUCAUAUUCCUUGCCAUGUUUUAAACACUAAUAUCUAGUGGUCCUUAGCGUGGUCGUUAUUACAAGUAAAUUAUUUAAAUGCUCAUUCAAUUAUAAUAAAUUCCUUAUCAAACAUUACUUAUUUUUCUUCAUCUCAUUUUUUGUUGCACUUCAUUAAUUUCGAGAAUUCAAAUAAGUAUUUCUUUGUUCGUAAACUUUUUCCUAUAUGGUAUAAACUUUGUGUUAAAAAAAAUGAUUAUAUAAAAUGAUACUGUAUUGAUUUUUACUGUUGUGCUCUUUAAUCAACUAAUAAUGUCCAACAACUUUUAAGGAUGGACAUCGACUAGUCGACUACCACUAGGGAACAAUACGUACUCAUGUUUAGAACGUGCCACAAUUUAAGGACUUACGUACGCCAUACAAAUUAAGGCCCCGUUUGGCCAUGCGAUAUGAUAUCAUAAUAUGGAAUUAUGAGAUGAAAUUGAAGUUUUGUUUGGACAUACGAUAUGAAAUUUUUGUGUUGUAUAUUUUCUCAUAAACAUAAGAAUCUCAUAAGUUGUAAAACUAUUAAAAUAGCCCCAAUUGUUUAUUCAAUCUUACCAAAUAAAUAAAAAUUUAUAAAAUUGCAUAAUAAAUUAUUACAAAGCUAUUUGUUCUCCACUUAAGUAACUGUUUCAUCUAACUUUAAUUCAUCAAACUUUAAUUCAAUAAAAAAUUGAAUAAAUUGUAGUGUACUAGUUUUUAAUAUAAUCUUCUCACAUAGUACGAACAAUUUCCUCAAGUUAAACUUGUAUUUCUCGUUCAUGUGAUCGCGAAGACGAACCAACAUUGUUACUUUGAGCCAUUUGUUGGUCAAUAUCAUCUGCAACUAUAUUUUCAUGAUCAUAGACUAUAAAUAUUUCAUCAGUCCUUUAGUAUUCUCGCAAAUAAUUAUGUAACACUGCACAAGCUAUGACAAUUUUUCACUGCAUCAAUUUUUAUCUGCUUUGUUGUUCAAAUAGAUAUAACUAUAAGUUGUAAUAAAUACAAAACGGUAGAAGCAAUAAAUUUAGGUGUUGGAGUAAAUGAAGAGAACAAAUUUAUUACUCAACAAUCGGUUGUUGUGAGUUAAAGUGACUAUAUGUUUGGUGAGAAUAAUAAAUUUUAAAAAUUAAUGAUAUGAUUAUAAAUUUUAUUUACAUAUGAAAUAAAUGGUUAGUAGAUAUAAAUGUGGGGUUGUUUUGACAAAAUAUAAACUUGUGGAUCAAUUUUUGUAUUAAAAUAUCUCAAAUCAUGAUAUGAAAUUCCCAUAUCAUGAUUUUUGGAGAAUAUGGAAUCAUAUCUCAUGAUAUGGAAUCAUGAGAUGGAAUCAGCGUGAAAUCGCAUGUCCAAACGUUGAUUCCAUCUCACUAUUCCAUAUCGUGAUAUGGUAUCGUAUGGCCAAACACCUACUAAGUAUUUAUUGUUAAUGGUGUUCAAGAUUUAGAUAAAAUUUGAUUUAAACUGAAUAUUCAAACCAAAUAAACUAAAUAAAAGGCUUUAUUUGUGGUUGGAUUUGAUUUGGUUUUAUAUUUUAAAAAACCGAUAGUAUUUGAUUUGAUUUUGAUUUUGAUUUUGUUAAAAAAAAUCAAAGAAAUAACCAAAUUGAACCGAUAAAUUACAUACAUAUGUUUUAUUAUUAUACAUGCAUAAUAUAUUAUUUUUAUAGAUAAUUUUAAAUAUCUUAUAUAUGUUUUCAUCAAAAUUUAUUUAUGAAAGUAAAAACGUUCAAUAUCAGAACAUUUAUUUUAUUGAUUUCAUGUAUAACAGUAUAAGAGUGUAUGAUAUUUUUUUGUGGGACUAGGAAUGUCACUAUCUCUUCCUUCUAGACCAAAAUGAUGAAUUUUGAAACUUUAUUCACAGUAAAUUUAAUGAUCAAAAGUUUUGUAAUGUUAGUCGUCCUAACUAUUUUUCAUUUUGAAUGAAUUUUUUUAAAAAAAAUUUAACUACUGAAUAACCGAGCCAAACUGAACCGAAAUUGAUAUUAACCAAACCGAUAAAUGGAUGUUAUAUUUGGUUUGGUUGGUUUUAUAAUUUAAAAUCGAUUAAAUUAGUUUGGUUUUAAUUUUGACCAAUAACCGAUCAAAACCAACCCGUAAACACCCCUGCUACAAGAAUAAGGUCAUAUACGAUGCAACUACUCCCUCUUUUCACUUUUAUGUUCACUAUUCUGAAAGUAAAUAUUCAUUUUUACUUGUCACUUUUAAUUACUCUUAAUAUUAAUUACUUAUUUACCUGAGGAAAGAAACAUGCGCAAAAAGUCCAAAUAUUCGUGAGUUCCGGAAGGAAAGAAGAUUGUUGUCUUUUUCCCUCUUUUGAAUGAAUUUUUUUAAAUAAUUUUUGUGUAUUGUUAAUAACUGAAUAACUGAGCUAAACUGAAUCUAAAUUGAUAUCAACCAAAUCGAUAAAUAAAUAUUAUAUUUGGUUUGGUUGGUUUUAUAAUUUAAAACCGGUUACAUUGAUUUGAUUUUAAUUUUGACGAAUAACCGACUGAAACUGACCUGUGAACACCCUACUUACGUGAAUAAGGUCAUAUAUGAUGUAUCUACUUCCUUUGUCCAUUUUUAUGUUCACUAUUCUUAAAAUAAAUAUUCCUGAAAGGCGAAAAUAAACUCCAAAUAAUCAUGAAUUAGAGAGAUAAAGAACAUUGGCAUGAUAAAAGAGUUUUAUUUAGAAAGAUACUAAUUAUAGUAGAACAUAGUAGGUGCUUAUGCGCGCACAAAGUAGACACUAAGAGGGAAACGGAGCCCUUGAGAAGGCGUUUGUCUUGUGGCGAGAGCCAAACGCCUUCUUCCAUCUAACACAAUCACCCACACUACUCGACAUUGAUUAAGAGCACAAUUUGGACAUACAAAAGGACCAGGACAAUUCAACAAAUGGUAACCUCUUUCUGCUCUCACUAUUUUAAACCAACUACUAUCUGCUCUUCCUAUCGUUCCUCCACGAGUCCCAAACAAACUUGCCUCUAGUGUUGCAUUGUAUUCUCCCACUUUCCAAUUUACAAAAUUAUCACAAUUCCUCGAACCAACGAACUGGAUGUUAAUGUCUUGGUUUUCAUAGAUGAGAGGUGGUUGUCCUCUACAAGAAUGUUCAAUAAAUCUAAGGGGUGUACCUCUUUGUCCAUCGGAGUUGUACUUGAAGACGCCGUCUGGACAAGAGGCACCUGAAUUUGGGAUGUGACCUAGGUAUACAUGACCACUUAGGACACCUCCGAGAGACGAAGCAAUACGAUAAUUUGAACGAGGAUUAAUUCCUCUACCCAAUGUGUCGAAUACUUGCCUAUUAGAAUUACGAGGAUUUUGGCAAGGGGAAGUUGAUGAAAACGCAACAAACGCAAGCAAACAAAGAGAUGAGAAGAAUAAUAAACACUUGGUCAUGUUUCAGUUGUGACUUGUUUAUACUAAUAAAGCCUUCUAUUUUAUAGAGUGAAGUGCUAUCCUCAUAAUGUCAAUGUCAUGUAUCUAGUGUGGUUUGUAUGUAUCUGAGAUACAUGAGCUACCAUGCUUCAUAAUCAAGAAGAAGAAACAAUAAGGAUUGCUCAACUUCGAGCCUCCUUAAAGUGUUAGCCCUGUAGUCACCGGUAGUCCACUAUACCAAUAUCGUUAUAGAUUUUAGAAACAUUUAUAAAGAGUGAUAAUUAUCUCUAAAAAUACAUAUUUACCGACAAUCAAACUAUUGCCAUUAGUUAAUUGUCACCCCUUUAAUUAUUAUUUGUUUUCAAAUAUGUAUACCAUUAUAUUAUGUGGAAUUAAGUGAGUACGUCGUAACUAAUAUUUUUGCACAAAAACAUUUUUUACUGUUCAAUACUUAGCGACUCAUAUCAAUUAAUCUAAUUUAAUAAUUCAUACACAAAAAAAUGAAAAAAUAGUUUUAAAAUAUGCGAAAUUGAAUGGAUAUACCCUUUUAAAUAUAUAAAUAUACUCAACUAACCAUCGUACUUCAUUGGCACGUUUUACUUAUUCAUAAUCAUUAAUGGUCCCGUUUGCACAGCAUUAUUGGUCCUGCAAUUAGAGCAGAGGAUAAGAAGGCAAAUUUGGGCGCUUCUUCUUGAUAGGUCUAUAUGAUAUGGUCCUUCCAACAAAAAUACAAAUCUCUUAAUUUUUAUACGAGAUAUUUUACUAUUAUGGGUGUAUUUAAUACGAAUGAAAAAGUUUCAUUUUCUCAAUUGAUUACUUAGUUUUUUAAUGGGGUGUGUGGGGUUGUGAGAGAAAGAGAUUGGACUUUGGAGAGUACAUGGGGUGAGAUACUCGUGGAGAGUGGACCAAUAAAUUUUUGUAAGAUUAAAUGUAUUUGAAAGUUUGUAACUAUAAUAUGCAACUGUAAAUAUAUAUCUAUAUAUAAUAGGAGAAGAAAAAAUGUCACAUGUUAGCACCAUAAAUUUUCAAAAUUUUAGAUUAUAAAUAAUUAAUAUUAUAUAACUAAUUAAAUAUUAUAAAUUAGAAAUAAAAUUCACAUGUCAAAAGGGGUGUAAAACACCGAACCACAAAUUGAGUUAAACCGAACAAAAAACCCGACUAGUGGUUUGGUUUGGUAUUGGGAAAAAAACCUCGACUAUAUUUGGGUUGGUUUGAUUUUAACUAAAAAAAACAACUCGAGACCAAACCAACCCGACAUUAUAUAUGUAAUUUUAAAAUUUUAUUUUAUACAUAAAAAUAUUUACAUUGAUAUAAUUUUAAAAUAUUUCUUAUACUAUUUCAUAGUUUUUAUCUUUUAAUAUAUUAUUUCAAGUUUAAAACUUAGAAUUCGGAAUGGUCCAAUAAAGAUUAUAGUUCAUAGAUGUUAAUAAUUAUAAUAAACUUAAAUCAAAAUCAAAUUAAUACUAAUGCAAAAAGAAAAUCAAUUCAACACUAAGAAUGACAAUAAUAUUGAAUAUUUGUUCUUUAGUUUUACAUUGGUUUAGACAAUUAAAAUACAUAAUCUAAUUUUAAUUGUCCUUAAAUAUUUAGUAAUGUAACUAAUACUUAUUAAACUUAUUUUAGCAUGAUUUAGUACUUUUAAAUUAUGAUCAUUUUCAUUAUGACGUUGCAAUAUUUAUUUUUAUAUGAUGAUUUCAUUAUUAUUUUUUAUUGACUAUUUUAGUGUCAUCACGCAUCUCAUAUUUUGUGUUAUUUUCUUAAGAAACACCUUAGAUAAUUGUAUUUUGGUUGGACUAAAGAAACAUUUGAAGCACAAGUUAAUUAUAUGUUUGUAUGCAAACUUUACCGAAAAAAUCCAAAAAUCUGAGGUUUAUUAGUUUGGUUUGAUUUAUAAGUUUAAAAUUAAAUUCGACAAUGGUUUGGUUUGGUAUUUGAAAAACCCAAAAAAAUUCAAAUUUUAUUAGUUUGGUUUGAUUUAUAAAUUUCAAAAUUUUACACAAAUGGUUUGGUUUGAUAUUUGGAAAACCCAAACCAACCCGGUCAUGUACACCCCUAUGUCAAAUAAUAACAAAUGUCAGCAUUUUUAUAAACAAAUUUAAUAUUUUUUUAAAAUCCAAUUUAUAAAUUAGUAAUAGAUUUUUUUUAUUUUAAUCUAGGACAUAUUUACUAUUUUUUUAAAAAUAAUUUAUACACUUUUUUUAAAAAGGCAGUUCUAUAAAUGACAAAUGUCAUCAAAUUAGAUGAACACCGACAAAUGUCAGCACCCAAAAAAAGUGUAUGUUUUUUUUUAAAGUUUAAUUAUAAAUUUGUAAAAAAUAUUUUUUUAAAAAAAUCAUUUAAUCUAGGCUGGUUUAAUAUUUCAAAAAGUAUCCAAUUUAUAAAAUUCAAAUAAAAUAAAGGACAAUCUUAUCUUAUAUAUAUAAAUUUUAAAAACUGAUUGUUAAAAACAAAGAUUACCAUUAGAAAAAAAUUUAAAACUUAUUGUAAAAAAAAAAGUUGAAGACGGUGGAUUCUUAAGCAAUGGGGUAGUUUUUUUUCCCUUUAUUUUUAAAAAUUAAAUUUUAAAACGGUUUGUUAGCAAAUACAAUAUUUACCAUUAAAAAAUAAAUUAAAAAACUUAUUGUUAAAAAACUGUGGAUUUGUAGGAAAAAUGAGGUAGUUUUCUUCCCUUUCUUUUUAAAAAUUUAUUAAAUUGUAUUCACAUAAUAGAAAGAAAAGUCUUUCAAUUUUAAAAAGAAAACGGAUAUCACGUCCAUUAAAAAAAGAAACCUUAAAAUUAGCCACAACAAAAUAUUUGAAUAAUUAAUUUAAAAUUCAAAUUUUAAAUAAUAACUAACCUUAUCCCUAAAAAGAAUCUCAACUUCCUAACCCACAUCUUUAAAAAAAAGUUACUAUUCUUAAAGCAUCAUUCACAUCUUUUUUAACCAAACACUUCAAAAUACGAAUUCAAACAUUUGUAAAACAAAAAUUACAUUCAAACAAAAAAAUUAUUACACUCAUGUGAGAUCAUAAAAGAAAAUGAGGGCAAACAUAGUAGUGUAUUGUGUGUAUUUAUUCCAUUUUUCUUAAUUGUUUGAUUUGAAAUUAUUUUGUUAUGUCUGAUGAAAGGAGAAGGAUCACCAUACUCUCCAAUGCAACAAAGAAAAAGAAGAAACAAAUGAUGAAUAAAUGGAGGAAUUCUAUAUAUUUCAUAGUAGUGGACCAUGUAU
This 19073-nucleotide long non-coding RNA is filed under the name Solanum tuberosum (potato). RNAcentral's name for it is "long non-coding RNA (STUB_LNC004043)". Lineage: Eukaryota; Viridiplantae; Streptophyta; Magnoliopsida; Solanales; Solanaceae. The record is from RNAcentral.